UCUGAAUUCGGAUCGUCGGUCUACCGAUCAAAGUCACCCAAUCGGCGGAAGAUCUUCUCUUUUUCGU
This 67-nucleotide microRNA precursor is filed under the name Bombyx mori (domestic silkworm). Its description in RNAcentral is "mir-2774 microRNA precursor family". It matches the Rfam family "mir-2774 microRNA precursor family". Lineage: Eukaryota; Metazoa; Arthropoda; Insecta; Lepidoptera; Bombycidae. The record is from Rfam by way of RNAcentral.